RNAcentral lists this ribosomal RNA (417 nucleotides) under Diphoropria sp. RNAcentral describes it as "partial 16S ribosomal RNA". The record is from RNAcentral. Lineage: Eukaryota; Metazoa; Arthropoda; Insecta; Hymenoptera; Diapriidae.
CUGCUCAAUGAUAAUUUAUUAAAUAGCUGCAGUAUUUUGACUGUACAAAGGUAGCAUAAUCAAUUGUUUUUUAAUAGGGAUCUAGUAUGAAGGAUUUAAUGAAAUAGUAACUGUCUCAUAAUAAUAUUUUUUUAAUUUAUUUUUUUUGUAAAAAUACAAAAAUUUAAUUAAAAGACGAUAAGUCCCUAUAGAAUUUAAUAUAUUUAUUUAUAUAAAAUUAAUUUAAAAUUUUAUAUUUAUAUAUAUAUUUUAUUGGGGGUAUAAAAAAAUUAAAUUAAUUUUUUUAAAAAAAAUCAUUUAUAAAUGAUUUUUUUAAUUUUUAUAAAAAAAUUAGAAUAAAUUACCUUAGGGAUAACAGCAUAAUUUUUUUGGAUAGUUCAUAUUGAUAAAAAAGAUUGUGACCUCGAUGUUGAAUUA